AGCCCCACCACAACCUAAUGAAUCACAAAAACUAACUCAACUAACCAAAACAUUUUUAUAUUUUAGUAAAGGCGAUCAAAAAAAUUCUAUGGAGCUAUAAUGAUAGUACCGCAAGGGAAAAGUGAAAUAAUAAUGAAAUAAUUUUAAGCACUCUAAAGUAGAGAUUUAACCUCGUACCUUUUGCAUCAUGGUUUAACUAGUCAAAUCAAGCAAAACGACUUACAGUCUGACCUCCCGAAACUAAGCGAGCUACUUCAGGGCAGCUUAUUGAGCAAACCCGUCUCUGUUGCAAAAGAGUGGGAAGACCCUCAAGUAGCGGUGAUAGACCUAACGAGCUUAGUGAUAGCUGGUUAUUCAAGAAAAGGAUUUUAGUCCAGCCUAAAGAACUAUUAAUAAUCUUAAUAUAACAACUACUUUAGAGUAAUUCAAAUAAGGUACAGCCUAUUUGAAACAGGAUACAACCUCAACCAAAGGGUAAUUAUUCGUUUUAACAACCAAGUAGGCCCAAAAGCAGCCAUCUUUAAAAUAGCGUCAAAGCUUAAUUGUUUAUACUAUUAAUCCCAAAAAUAAUUUAGAACCCUUCACCACUAUUGAAUAAUUCUAUAUAUUUAUAGAAUAUUUUAUGUUAAAACUAGUAACAAGAAGAAGACCUUCUCUUAAAUGUAAAUGUAAGUCAAAAAGGACUAACCAGUGACUAUUAACACCAAUGAACAAAAAUUAGCAACUCACAAGAAAACCCUACUUUUUAUUAUGUUAACCUAACACAAGAGCAUUUCAAGAAAGAUUAAAAGAAAAAGAAGGAACUCGGCAAAAAUUAACCUCGCCUGUUUACCAAAAACAUCGCCUCUUGAAUAUACUUAUAAGAGGUCCAGCCUGCCCAGUGACUCUGUUCAACGGCCGCGGUAUCCUAACCGUGCGAAGGUAGCGUAAUCACUUGUUCUUUAAAUAAGGACUAGUAUGAAUGGCACCACGAAGGUUACACUGUCUCCUUUCUCUAAUCAGUGAAACUAAUCUCCCCGUGAAGAAGCGGGGAUUUAAAUAUAAGACGAGAAGACCCUAUGGAGCUUUAAACUAAAUAACACUUGCUCUUAUAUUUUUAUAUUUGAGAAUACUAACACCUAUUUUAGCUUUAUGAUUUUUAGUUUUAGGUUGGGGUGACCGCGGAGCAAAACAAAACCUCCACAUUGAAUGGGGUUACAUACCCUGAGCAACGAGCUACAACUCUACGCACCAAUAAAUUGACAUAAAUUGACCCAAUAUUUUGAUCAACGAACCAAGUUACCCUAGGGAUAACAGCGCAAUCCGCUUCAAGAGCUCCUAUCGACAAGCGGGUUUACGACCUCGAUGUUGGAUCAGGGUAUCCCAGUGGUGUAGCCGCUACUAAAGGUUCGUUUGUUCAACGAUCAAAACCCUACGUGAUCUGAGUUCAGACCGGAGUAAUCCAGGUCAGUUUCUAUCUAUAAAGGGCUUUUUCUAGUACGAAAGGACCGAAAAAGCAUGGCCUAUGUUUUAUGCAAGCCAUACUCAAUAAUUUAUGAUUUAAACUUAAUAAAUAGCUGACCUAUAAUUAA
RNAcentral lists this ribosomal RNA (1571 nucleotides) under Pseudacris regilla (Pacific treefrog). RNAcentral describes it as "bacterial LSU rRNA". It matches the Rfam family "Bacterial large subunit ribosomal RNA". Lineage: Eukaryota; Metazoa; Chordata; Amphibia; Anura; Hylidae. The record is from RNAcentral.